CGGGUAGCUCAGUUGGUUAGAGCAACUGGUUUACACCCAGUAGGUCGUAGGUUCGAGUCCUAUCCCGC
Molecule: transfer RNA, 68 nt
Filed under: marine eukaryotic metagenome
Rfam family: tRNA
About the family: Transfer RNA (tRNA) molecules are approximately 80 nucleotides in length. Their secondary structure includes four short double-helical elements and three loops (D, anti-codon, and T loops).
Source: RNAcentral